UUAAAGAGCAGAGUUUCAGUUUUGAAAGGUGAAGAGAAUUCUGGAGAUGACUGGUGAUGACAGUUGGACAUCAGUGUGAGUGCCCGGCUAUCAGUGGUGGCAGGGAGACCCAGUGGAGUUCACCCUCCAGUGUUUCUCUGGCACUCCAACGGGCAGCUUUCUACACGCCAUUCUGAGUUCCCCAUACCCCAGUAAGCAACUUCCAGAAGACCAUCCCUGACCUACAGUACCCAAGCAAACAUUGCUGGCACGUCACUGGACAGCUUCCUGUGAAAUCGCUCUGGCCUGCAACAUCCCAGAAACCUUGCCACUCAGUAAGCUCUAAUCACACCCUCUCUAGGACCAAGGGUGUUGCUUCUUCUCUACGCUUCAUAGAACUUUAGUCAGAGCCUUUGCAGUAUCUCCGACUCCCAGAGAAUGGUUUGAUUCUGGAAAAGAUCUGGUAUUUACAGUAGGACAAAAUUCCCUGUUCUUCAAAUAUUUUGCU
Molecule: long non-coding RNA, 487 nt
Organism: Odocoileus virginianus texanus
Lineage: Eukaryota; Metazoa; Chordata; Mammalia; Artiodactyla; Cervidae
Source: RefSeq, a predicted model, not a curated record